UUUAACGUUGUCCUAAUGGGCGUUUUUCUUCAAUAACAUUACAACUUUAUUCAGGAUGUGGACGGUCCAAGAGAAUUUUACAUGCUCUUGUCUUAGUUCUGGCAGCGUGCAAGUCCUCGAGGGUAGGUAGGUGGUGUACCGACAACCUAUUCAGCAGUUUUGAUUGUCCGUUGCAGUCAGAGUCUGUCCUUUUCAGUCGCAGCACCAAACCAGACUGUGAUGGAAGAACACAGGACUGAUUCAAUGACCGCUGUAUAAGAACUGCCUCAACAGCUCCUGUGGCAGGUCGUGCUUCCUCGGAAGCCGCAGGAACUACAUCCUCUGCUGGGCCUUUUUGAGGAUGGAGUUGGUCUUCAGGUCCUGAGAGACUGUAAUUCCCAGGAACUUGAAGGUCUCGACGGUUGACACAGGGCAUGCCUCCUGAAGUCCACGAUCAUCUCUACAGUCUUGAGCGUGUUCAGGUCCAGGUUGUGUCGGUCGCAACACAGCUCCAGACGCUCCACUUCCUGUCAAUAGGCAGACUCGUCACAGUCUUUGAUGAGGCCGAUGACUGUGGUGUCGUCUGCAAACUUCAGGAGUUUGACAGCCGGUGCGUUGAGAUGCAGUCGUUUGUGUAGAGAGAGAAGAGCAUCGGAGAGAGGACACAUCCUUGGGGCGCCCCGGUGCUGAUGGUGCAUGUGGAUGGCAGGAGAGACGCUGAGCUGGAGAAGCUUGGAGGAGAGGAGUUCGGGGAUGAUGGUGUGAACAUUUCGUUCACAAGAACGAAUCUCUUUAGUGAAUCAACUGAACCGAAUCAGUUUCUGAAAUGAUUUGUUCUUUUAACUUGAGCGUCAGCCGCCGCCAGGCAAGCGAGUCGGCUGGGAGCCGAAACGGAACUGCUGAAGCGUUCUGUCACUCACUUCGGAAUCUUCGGCGAAUGACCAAUGAGCAGCCAGCGUCAGGCAGCACCGUGCAGGCGGGGGAGGGACUUAAGUCAACUGAGUGAUUCGUUCAGUGAACUGGGGUACUGAGGAACUGAAGAAGUGAAGAGUGAUUCGUUUGUGGAACUUCUUCGUUGGUGAUCCGCUAAGGAGCGAUGAGUGAUUCGUUUGCGCAAAGAACGACGUUCUACGCAAUGAACGUACUCAGGAGGGAUUUUAACCGCAAGUCCUGACGUCCUCGCGGGGAUAGCUUUCACUCGUAGCCGUUCCUUCAAGCUAACCGCUAAUGUUGAGUCAGUCAAGCACAUGAAAACAAGCACACAUAUUUUAAAUAAAUGUCAAUUAAUAAUAGAUGUUUUUAAGUAGACAUACAUAUCACUCCCUCCGUGUCGCUAAUGCGAUUAUUAAAGCUUUUUAUUUCAUUAUAUUAAUAAUAACGUUAAACUUCUAUAGCGCUUCUCAAGACACUCAAAGACGCUUUCCACUAAUCAGAUGACAAAUAACAGUAAGGUGAGUGAGCAGAAAGCCCGGCUGGCGGAGGCUGGCGUCAGCGACGCUGUCCACCGCGGUGGAGUGCAGAAAUGUCACGCCGGCUGGCGAGAGCCUAGCUGGACGUCAGGGGACGCGGAAGGAUGGUCGGUAGCUGAGCUCGCUGCACGCAUGUUCACGCCUCACAACCGAAGCCGGGUGUUCGAGAGCUCGCUGGGAGAGAGCGAGAUCUCUAAAAGUGAGCGAAGUUAGCCUGGCGACUGCUGACCUCGAGCCGGAAGGAAGGACGGACAGAGCGACGCACGACCAGUGUGCCCAUAUAAAGACUUCCUAAUAACCUGCAUCUCAUUUUCAUGACCUCCUGCUACUGUCCCUCCACUGAGUGGCGUUGCCCACGCAGGGGGCGCCCCCGGCACUACCGCACGUCCGGGUCCUCAUCUGCACCCCGGAGUCGUCGCAGGCCGACCACAGCGACCAGGCCAUCCAGCCUCCUGGACACAAACAACA
Long non-coding RNA from Phyllopteryx taeniolatus (common seadragon), 1916 nucleotides. RefSeq lists it as uncharacterized. The transcript is spliced from 3 exons. NCBI's taxonomy places the organism in Eukaryota, Metazoa, Chordata, Actinopteri, Syngnathiformes, Syngnathidae. The record is from RefSeq and is a predicted model, not a curated record.